This 440-nucleotide ribosomal RNA is filed under the name uncultured bacterium. Its description in RNAcentral is "partial 16S ribosomal RNA". It matches the Rfam family "Bacterial small subunit ribosomal RNA", at positions 338 to 795 of the family's 1533-position model. The record is from RNAcentral.
CCUACGGGAGGCAGCAGUGGGGAAUAUUGCACAAUGGGGGAAACCCUGAUGCAGCGACGCCGCGUGAGUGAAGAAGUAUUUCGGUAUGGAAAGCUCUAGCAGCAGGGAAAAAAAUGACGGUACCGGAUUAAGAAGCCCCGGCUAACUACGUGCCAGCAGCCGCGGUAAUACGUAGGGGGCAAGCGUUAUCCGGAUUUACUGGGGGUAAAGGGAGCGUAGACGGCAGCACAAGUCUGGAUUGAAAUGCGGGGGCUUAACCCCGGAACUGCUUUGGAAACUGUGCAGCUAGAGUGCAGGAGAGGUAAGUGGAAUUCCUAGUGUAGCGGUGAAAUGCGUAGAUAUUAGGAGGAACACCAGUGUCGAAGGCGGCUUACUGGACUGUAACUGACGUUGAGGCUCGAAAGCGUGGGGAGCAAACAGGAUUAGAUACCCGAGUAGUC